CCUACGGGAGGCAGCAGUGGGGAAUCUUGCGCAAUGGGGGAAACCCUGACGCAGCAACGCCGCGUGGGUGAUGAAGGCCUUCGGGUCGUAAAGCCCUGUCAGGUGGGAAGAAACUUGUGGAUGUCAACACCAUCCAUGCUUGACGGUACCACCGGAGGAAGCACCGGCUAACUCCGUGCCAGCAGCCGCGGUAAUACGGAGGGUGCAAGCGUUGUUCGGAAUUAUUGGGCGUAAAGCGCGUGUAGGUGGUCGUGUAAGUCAGAUGUGAAAGCCUUCUGCUUAACAGAAGAAGUGCAUUUGAAACUGCUCGGCUAGAGUACGGGAGAGGAGAGUGGAAUUCCCGGUGUAGAGGUGAAAUUCGUAGAUAUCGGGAGGAACACCAGUGGCGAAGGCGGCUCUCUGGUCCGAUACUGACGCUGAGACGCGAAAGCGUGGGGAGCAAACAGGAUUAGAUACCCUGGUAGUCCACGCCGUAAACGAUGGGCACUAGGUGUAGGAGGUAUUGACCCCUUCUGUGCCGAAGCUAACGCAUUAAGUGCCCCGCCUGGGGAGUACGGCCGCAAGGCUAAAACUCAAAGGAAUUGACGG
Molecule: ribosomal RNA, 588 nt
Filed under: uncultured bacterium
Lineage: Bacteria
Description: bacterial SSU rRNA
Rfam family: Bacterial small subunit ribosomal RNA
Source: RNAcentral